This 1474-nucleotide ribosomal RNA is filed under the name uncultured Bordetella sp. Its description in RNAcentral is "partial 16S-23S ribosomal RNA intergenic spacer". It matches the Rfam family "Bacterial small subunit ribosomal RNA". Lineage: Bacteria; Pseudomonadati; Pseudomonadota; Betaproteobacteria; Burkholderiales; Alcaligenaceae. The record is from RNAcentral.
GGUUCGAUUAUGGCUCAGAUUGAACGCUGGCGGGACGUUUUACAUACGGGUCGAACGGCAGCACGGACUUCGUCCGGUGGCGAGUAAAGGAACCAAGGAGGAAUGGGCAUCGAACCGUGUGCCUAGUAGCGGGGGAUAAUCUGCAUGCGAAAGUAGCAGCUUUAAUACCGCAUACGCCCUUCGGGGAAAGCGGGGACCUUCGGGCCUCGCACUAUUAGAGCGGCCGAUAUCGGAUUAGCUAGUUGCGGCAACGGCUCACCAAGGCGACGAUCCGUAGCUGGUUUGAGAGGACGACCAGCCACACUGGGACUGAGACACGGCCCGACUCCUACGGGAGGCAGCAGUGGGGAAUUUCUGGGACAAUGGGAAACCUGACCAGCCAUCCUGGCGUGUGCGAUGAAGGCCUUCGGGUUGUAAAGCACUUUGGCAGGAAAGAAACGGCACGGGAUAAUACCCCGUGCAACUGACGGUACCUGCAGAAUAAGCACCGGCUAACUACGCGCCAGCAGCCGCGGUAAUACGUAGGGCAAGCGUUAAUCGGAAUUACUGGGCGUAAAGCGUGCGCAGGCGGUUCGGAAAGCAAAGAUGUGAAAUCCCAGAGCUUAACUUUGAACUGCAUUUUUUAACUACUGAGCUAGAGUGUGUCAGAGGGAGGUGGAAUUCCGCGUAGCAGUGAAAUGUAGAUAUGUGCGGAGGAACACUGAUGGCGAAAGGCAGCCUCCUGGGAUAACACUGACGCUCAUGCACGAAAGCGUGGGGAGCAAACAGAUUAGAUACCCUGGUAGUCCACGCCCUAAACGAUGUCAACUAGCGUUGGGGCCUUCGGGCCUUGGUAGCGCAGCUAACGUUAUAGCUGACCGCCUGGGGAGUACGGUCGCAAGAUUAAAACUCAAAGGAAUUGACGGGGACCUUGCACAAGCGGUGGAUGAUGUGGAUUAAUUCGAUGCAACGCGAAAACCUUACCUUACCCUUGACAUGUCUGGAAUCCCAGAGAUUUGGGAGUGCUCGCAAGAGAACCGGAACACAGGUGCGCCAUGGCUGUCGUCAGCUCGUGUCGAGAUGUUGGGUUAAGUCCCGCAACGAGCGCAACCUUUAGUCAUUAGUUGCUACGAAACACCCCCAUCGAGACUGCCGGUGACAAACCGAGGAAGGUGGGGAUGACGUCAAGUCCUCAUGGCCCUUAUGGGUAGGGCUUCACACGGGAGCAAUGGUCGGGACAGAGGGUCGCCAACCCGCGAGUGGGAGCCAAUCCCAGAAACCCGAUCGUAGUCCGAUCGCAGUCUGCAACUCGACUGCGUGAAGUCGGAAUCGCUUAGUAAUCGCGGAUCAGCAUGUCGCGGUGAAUACGUUCCCGGGUCUUGUACACACCGCCCGUCACACCAUGGGAGGCUUUACCAGAAGUAGUUAGCCUAACCGUAAGGAGGGCGAUUACCACGGUAGGAUUCAUGACUGGGGUGAAGUCGUAACAAGGUAA